This 359-nucleotide ribosomal RNA is filed under the name Samia ricini (Indian eri silkmoth). RNAcentral describes it as "partial 16S ribosomal RNA". The record is from RNAcentral. Lineage: Eukaryota; Metazoa; Arthropoda; Insecta; Lepidoptera; Saturniidae.
UAUUGGUUGAUUGUAUGAGGAUUGGAUGAGAUAUAAGCUGUCUUGAUAAUAUUUAAUUGAAUUUAAUUUUUUAUUUAAAAAGUUAAAAUAAUUUAAAAAGACGAGAAGACCCUAUAGAGUUUUAUAUUAAAUUAAAUUAAAAUUAUUUAUAUAAUUAUUAAUAUAGAUUUAAUUUUAGUAUUUUGUUGGGGUGACAAAAAAAUAAAUAAAACUUUUUUUAUUAUUUACAUAAAUAAAUGAAUUUUUGAUCCAAUUUUAUUGAUUAAAAGAAAAAAUUACCUUAGGGAUAACAGCGUAAUUUUUUUUUUUAUUUCUUAUAAAAAAAAAAGUUUGCGACCUCGAUGUUGGAUCAGGACAAA